Molecule: ribosomal RNA, 615 nt
Filed under: Triticum aestivum (bread wheat)
Lineage: Eukaryota; Viridiplantae; Streptophyta; Magnoliopsida; Poales; Poaceae
Description: partial small subunit ribosomal RNA
Source: RNAcentral
AUGGCCAUGGCCACGCAAGCCUCGGCGGCGACGCGCCACCUGAUCACCGCGGCCUGGUCGCCAUCCGCCAAGCCCCGCCCCGCCACCCUCGGCAUGCCCUCCGCCCGUGGCCCGGCCCCGCUCUGCGCCGCGGCCCCGGACACCCCCGCCCCCGCCGCGCCGCCGGCGGAGCCCGCCCCCGCGGGCUUCGUGCCGCCGCAGCUGGACCCGUCCACCCCGUCCCCGAUCUUCGGCGGCAGCACGGGCGGCCUCCUCCGCAAGGCCCAGGUCGAGGAGUUCUACGUCAUCACCUGGACCUCCCCCAAGGAGCAGGUGUUCGAGAUGCCCACCGGCGGCGCCGCCAUCAUGCGCGAGGGCCCCAACCUCCUCAAGCUCGCCCGCAAGGAGCAGUGCCUCGCCCUCGGCAACCGCCUCCGCUCCAAGUACAAGAUCGCCUACCAGUUCUACCGCGUCUUCCCCAACGGCGAGGUGCAGUACCUCCACCCCAAGGACGGCGUCUACCCGGAGAAGGUCAACGCCGGCAGGCAGGGCGUGGGGCAGAACUUCCGCAGCAUCGGCAAGAACGUCAGCCCCAUCGAGGUCAAGUUCACCGGCAAGAACUCCUUCGACAUCUAA